RNAcentral lists this ribosomal RNA (439 nucleotides) under uncultured bacterium. Its description in RNAcentral is "bacterial SSU rRNA". It matches the Rfam family "Bacterial small subunit ribosomal RNA", at positions 340 to 773 of the family's 1533-position model. The record is from RNAcentral.
UACGGAAGGCAGCAGUGGGGAAUAUUGCACAAUGGGCGCAAGCCUGAUGCAGCCAUGCCGCGUGUAUGAAGAAGGCCUUCGGGUUGUAAAGUACUUUCAGUCGUGAGGAAGGUGUUAAGGUUAAUAACCUUAGCAAUUGACGUUAGCGACAGAAGAAGCACCGGCUAACUCCGUGCCAGCAGCCGCGGUAAUACGGAGGGUGCGAGCGUUAAUCGGAAUUACUGGGCGUAAAGGCACGCAGGCGGUUAAUUAAGUUGGAUGUGAAAUCCCCGGGCUUAACCUGGGAAUGGCAUUCAAGACUGGUUAGCUAGAGUCUUGUAGAGGGGGUAGAAUUCCAUGUGUAGCGGUGAAAUGCGUAGAGAUGUGGAGGAAUACCGGUGGCGAAGGCGGCCCCCGGACAAAGGCCUGACGCUCAUGUGCGAAAGCGUGGGGAGCAAAC